Molecule: non-coding RNA, 24 nt
Filed under: Arabidopsis thaliana (thale cress)
Lineage: Eukaryota; Viridiplantae; Streptophyta; Magnoliopsida; Brassicales; Brassicaceae
Source: RNAcentral
AGAAGUCCUUGUGGUGAGCUUCGA